AUUGAACGCUAGCGGGAUGCUUUACACAUGCAAGUCGAACGGCAGCGCGGACUUCGGUCUGGCGGCGAGUGGCGAACGGGUGAGUAAUGUAUCGGAACGUGCCCAGUAGCGGGGGAUAACUACGCGAAAGCGUAGCUAAUACCGCAUACGCCCUACGGGGGAAAGCAGGGGAUCGUAAGGCCUUGCACUAUUGGAGCGGCCGAUAUCGGAUUAGCUAGUUGGUGAGGUAACGGCUCACCAAGGCGACGAUCCGUAGCUGGUUUGAGAGGACGACCAGCCACACUGGGACUGAGACACGGCCCAGACUCCUACGGGAGGCAGCAGUGGGGAAUUUUGGACAAUGGGGGCAACCCUGAUCCAGCCAUCCCGCGUGUGCGAUGAAGGCCUUCGGGUUGUAAAGCACUUUUGGCAGGAAAGAAACGUCGCGGGCUAAUACCCCGUGGAACUGACGGUACCUGCAGAAUAAGCACCGGCUAACUACGU
This 483-nucleotide ribosomal RNA is filed under the name uncultured bacterium. Its description in RNAcentral is "partial 16S ribosomal RNA". It matches the Rfam family "Bacterial small subunit ribosomal RNA", at positions 30 to 506 of the family's 1533-position model. The record is from RNAcentral.